GCUAAAAACAUUUUUUUUUUUUUUGCAGCUACCGGUAUUUCAAAUGUUUGGGAAUGAGAGGAAAAUUGCAAUGACAAAAAUAAGUAAACUGAAAUCAUGUACCAUUCUGAGAGAACCAUCUUGACAAAGAAAGUUGGUUGGACAGGAUAAUCGCAUUAGAUUAUUGGAACUACAACUCCAGAAUUAAGAACUGUACAUCUUGGUCAAGGUGUAGUUUUUCUGUAUCAGCUGGCUAUUUUCUCCAGGAUCCUACCGUAUACGCAGCCUUGCUUUAGACUCUUCACAUCUCAGAUCAUGACUUCAGUCAAAAAGACAGCAAUUUGAUAAUCUGAGGCGCCUCGAAGCCUAAAUAUAAAUGAUCUUAUCAGGAAAGGGGAAAUGAAGAUGGCUAGGAAUGGGGAAUUGACUACAUUAAAAAUGUGAAUAGUUUACAUACUGCUUU
Pantherophis guttatus is the source of this 442-nucleotide non-coding RNA. NCBI's taxonomy places the organism in Eukaryota, Metazoa, Chordata, Lepidosauria, Squamata, Colubridae. The record is from RefSeq and is a predicted model, not a curated record.